AUGCAAGUCGAACGGCAGCACGGGGGCAACCCUGGUGGCGAGUGGCGAACGGGUGAGUAAUAUAUCGGAACGUACCCUGGAGUGGGGGAUAACGCAGCGAAAGUUGCGCUAAUACCGCAUACGAUCUACGGAUGAAAGUGGGGGAUCCGCAAGGACCUCAUGCUCGUGGAGCGGCCGAUAUCUGAUUAGCUAGUUGGUGGGGUAAAGGCCUACCAAGGCAUCGAUCAGUAGCUGGUCUGAGAGGACGACCAGCCACACUGGAACUGAGACACGGUCCAGACUCCUACGGGAGGCAGCAGUGGGGAAUUUUGGACAAUGGGGGCAACCCUGAUCCAGCAAUGCCGCGUGAGUGAAGAAGGCCUUCGGGUUGUAAAGCUCUUUUGUCGGGGAAGAAACGGAUUGGUUUAAUACACUGAUCUAAUGACGGUACCCGAAGAAUAAGCACCGGCUAACUACGUGCCAGCAGCCGCGGUAAUACGUAGGGUGCAAGCGUUAAUCGGAAUUACUGGGCGUAAAGCGUGCGCAGGCGGUUAUGUAAGACAGAUGUGAAAUGCCCGGGCUUAACCUGGGAACUGCAUUUGUGACUGCAUGGCUAGAGUGUGUCAGAGGGGGGUAGAAUUCCACGUGUAGCAGUGAAAUGCGUAGAUAUGUGGAGGAAUACCGAUGGCGAAGGCAGCCCCCUGGGAUAACACUGACGCUCAUGCACGAA
RNAcentral lists this ribosomal RNA (709 nucleotides) under uncultured bacterium. RNAcentral's name for it is "bacterial SSU rRNA". It matches the Rfam family "Bacterial small subunit ribosomal RNA", at positions 55 to 757 of the family's 1533-position model. The record is from RNAcentral.